This 1388-nucleotide ribosomal RNA is filed under the name uncultured organism. Its description in RNAcentral is "16S ribosomal RNA". It matches the Rfam family "Bacterial small subunit ribosomal RNA". The record is from RNAcentral.
UUGAUCCUGGCUCAGAACGAACGUUGGCGACGCGUUUUAAGCAUGCAAGUCGAGCGUGAUCAUAGAGCUUGCUCUAUGUGAAAGCGGCGAACUGGUGAGUAACGCGUAGAUAACCUGCCUCUAAGUGGGGGAUAGCCUCUGGAAACAGGGAUUAAUACCCCAUAGACCCUUUUCACACAAGUGGAGUAGGGUAAAGCUUCGGCGCUUAGAGAUGGAUCUGCGUCCUAUUAGCUAGUUGGUAGGGUAAAAGCCUACCAAGGCGAUGAUAGGUAGCCGACCUGAGAGGGUGACCGGCCACAUUGGGACUGAGAUACGGCCCAGACUCCUACGGGAGGCAGCAGCUAAGAAUCUUCCGCAAUGGACGCAAGUCUGACGGAGCGACGUCGCGUGAAGGAUGAAGGCCUUCGGGUUGUAAACUUCUUUUAGCACCGAGGAAUGACUGACUGUAGGUGCUGAAUAAGCCUCGGCUAAUUACGUGCCAGCAGCCGCGGUAAUACGUAAGAGGCAAACGUUGUUCGGAUUUACUGGGCGUAAAGGGUGAGUAGGCGGAGCUGUAAGUCUGAGGUGAAAGACCGGGGCUCAACCCCGGAAACGCCUUGGAUACUAUAGCUCUUGAGCAUAGUAGAGGAUGACGGAAUUCCUGGUGUAAGGGUGGAAUCUGUAGAUAUCAGGAAGAACACCGAUGGCGAAGGCAGUCAUCUGGGCUAUAGCUGACGCUGAAUCACGAAAGCCAGGGGAGCGAACGGGAUUAGAUACCCCGGUAGUCCUGGCCGUAAACGUUGUACACUAGGUGUACUCGGUUUAUCCGUGUGCGCCGUAGCAAACGCAUUAAGUGUACCGCCUGGGGAGUAUGCUCGCAAGGGUGAAACUCAAAGGAAUUGACGGGGGCCCGCACAAGCGGUGGAGCAUGUGGGUUAAUUCGAUGAUACGCGAAAAAUCUUACCUGGGCUUGAAAUGCAAGAGGUAUGGCGUAGAUAUAUGUCAGCCCGAAAGGGCCUUUUGCACAGGUGCUGCAUGGCUGUCGUCAGCUCGUGUCGUGUAUAUGUUGGGUUAAGUCCCGCAACGAGCGCUACCCCUACCCUUUGUUGCCACCGGGUUAUGCCGGGCACUCUGAGGGAACAGCCUGUUACAUAGCUAGGAGGAAGGUGGGGAUGUACGUCAAGUCCUCAUGGCCCUUUUGUCCAGGGCUACACACGUGCUACAAUGGGCAAUACAAAGAGAAGCAAUACCGCGUAGGUGGAGCAAAUCUCAAAAAGUUGUCCUCAGUUCGGAUCGGAGUCUGUAACUCGACUCCGUGAAGCUGGAAUCGCUAGUAGUCGCAGAUCAGCACGCUGCGGUGUAUACGUUCCCGGGCCUUGUACACACCGCCCGUCACACCACUCGAGUUG